RNAcentral lists this ribosomal RNA (275 nucleotides) under uncultured bacterium. RNAcentral describes it as "partial 16S ribosomal RNA". It matches the Rfam family "Bacterial small subunit ribosomal RNA", at positions 338 to 605 of the family's 1533-position model. The record is from RNAcentral.
CCUACGGGUGGCAGCAGUGGGGAAUUUUGGACAAUGGGGGCAACCCUGAUCCAGCCAUGCCGCGUGAGUGAAGAAGGCCUUCGGGUUGUAAAGCUCUUUUGUCGGGGAGGAAAUCGCGACGGCUAAUAUCCGUCGUGGAUGACAGUACCUGAAGAAUAAGCACCGGCUAACUACGUGCCAGCAGCCGCGGUAAUACGUAGGGUGCAAGCGUUAAUCGGAAUUACUGGGCGUAAAGCGUGCGCAGGCGGUUUUUUAAGCUUGAUGUGAAAUCCCCG